AUGGCAACAUUGAUGAUGAAGUUUGGAAUGGCUUCCAAUUCACCCUUCAAUGAAAAUGCUUUACCCGUACCCAUUCAAAGUGGUUUGACAGCAACAAAUGAACCCUCCCAAAACCUAUUUGGUCAAGCAGAUCCUAAAUCUCAAGGCUUGCCCGGACCUGGAAAUAUGAGCAGAGGUUUGGCUUAUUAACAAGAAUCAUCAAAAUCUCCCAUUGAAACAUCCUUUGGAACUCGAAGAGAAAAGAUUCUUAAAUAGUUUUCUGCAAAAUCCGGUUUUGAAGGAAGAUGAAACUAGCCUAAACGAACUGGUCGGGCGGUUGCGAACUGAAAACAACAUGCUUCUACUGGUGUUGAAACAUCAGCAAAUCAUUGAAGAAAUUAUGAAGGAGAAUCGUAAGCUUCAUCGGAUACUCAUGGAAGUGUCAAAAAUGAAGUCUGGGAAGAAUUAUACUUUAUUCAUCAUACUUUCAAUUAAGGUCCUUUAUAUAAACAAUUUCCUGUA
Hibiscus syriacus is the source of this 501-nucleotide long non-coding RNA. RefSeq lists it as uncharacterized. The record is from RefSeq and is a predicted model, not a curated record. The transcript is spliced from 3 exons. NCBI's taxonomy places the organism in Eukaryota, Viridiplantae, Streptophyta, Magnoliopsida, Malvales, Malvaceae.